This 164-nucleotide ribosomal RNA is filed under the name uncultured archaeon. RNAcentral describes it as "partial 16S ribosomal RNA". It matches the Rfam family "Archaeal small subunit ribosomal RNA", at positions 325 to 488 of the family's 1478-position model. The record is from RNAcentral.
ACGGGGUGCAGCAGGCGGCGAAAACUUUACAAUGCCGGCAACGGCGAUAAGGGGACCUCGAGUGCCAGGUUACAAAUCUGGCUGUCGCGAUGCCUAAAAAGCAUUGCAUAGCAAGGGCCGGGCAAGACCGGUGCCAGCCGCCGCGGUAACACCGGCGGCUCGAG